AAGUCGUAACAAGGUUUCCGUAGGUGAACCUGCGGAAGGAUCAUUAACACGUAUCCAAACCGCGUAGUUCGCAAUCUCUGAUAAAUCAUAGCCCGGAAAGUUGUAGUGAUUGGCUACGUGCGAUCAUUGGAACAGUUACAAUCGAGCGGUAGUUCUAUAGGCAAUGUUUCCCCAAGCAGUCAGUGUCGGAAAGUGUCAUUGAUUGUGCAAGGAUAGCGCUUCUACGAUUCCUGUAGACCGUACACUCGGGCAGGAGCUUUGCCAAAGGGUCCCCAUGCCCCCUAAUAACCCCACAGUUUAAUGUGAAGCUCAUGUAAUACAUUGGGUAAAAAAACCGAACAACUGUUAACAAUGGAUAUCUUGGUUCUC
This 369-nucleotide unclassified non-coding RNA is filed under the name fungal sp. RNAcentral's name for it is "partial internal transcribed spacer region". The stretch from base 1 to 46 matches the Rfam family "Eukaryotic small subunit ribosomal RNA", at positions 1786 to 1831 of the family's 1831-position model. The record is from RNAcentral. Lineage: Eukaryota; Fungi.